RNAcentral lists this ribosomal RNA (466 nucleotides) under uncultured bacterium. RNAcentral's name for it is "partial 16S ribosomal RNA". It matches the Rfam family "Bacterial small subunit ribosomal RNA", at positions 28 to 507 of the family's 1533-position model. The record is from RNAcentral.
GACGAACGCUGGCGGCGUGCUUAACACAUGCAAGUCGAACGGAAAGGCCUCUUUCGGGGGGUACUCGAGUGGCGAACGGGUGAGUAACACGUGAGUAACCUGCCCUUGACUUUGGGAUAACUUCAGGAAACUGGGGCUAAUACCGGAUAGGAGCUCCUGCUGCAUGGUGGGGGGUGGAAAGGUUCGGCGGGUGGGGGUGGACUCGCGGCUUAUCAGCUGGUUGGUGGGGUAGUGGCUUACCAAGGCUUUGACGGGGAUCCGGCCUGAGGGGGGGCCCGGCGAGAUUGGAACUGACACACGACCCGUACCCCUCCGGGAGGGAGCACGGGGGAAUGUUGUGAAAGGGGCGGAGGCCUGACCCAGCACCGCCGAGGCAGGGGUGACGGCCGUCGGGGGUGAAACAGCUGCCGCCGGGGAAGAAGGGGGAGGCACGGGAAGGAGUAAAGAAGCACCGGCUAACUCCGUC